UCCGUAGGGUGCGAGCGUUGUCCGGAAUUAUUGGGCGUAAAGGGCUCGUAGGCGGUCCAUCGCGUCGGGUGUGAAAAGCUGGGGCUCAACCCCAGUCCUGCUUCCGAUACGGGUGGACUAGAGGUAUGCAGGGGAGAACGGAAUUCCUGGUGUAGCGGUGAAAUGCGCAGAUAUCAGGAGGAACACCGGUGGCGAAGGCGGUUCUCUGGGCAUUACCUGACGCUGAGGAGCGAAAGCGUGGGGAGCAAACAGG
Molecule: ribosomal RNA, 253 nt
Filed under: uncultured bacterium
Lineage: Bacteria
Description: partial 16S ribosomal RNA
Rfam family: Bacterial small subunit ribosomal RNA
Source: RNAcentral